UAAUGGUCUUAAUGUGCACAAAUCAUCAGUGUAUUUUAAUAAACACAAAACAAGUUUGGCUUUAAUCAAAAAGCAUUACCUUGAUCUUUUUAGAUUACAUCCCAGUCACAAAUCCUCCUGAAACACAGGUGUCUGAGGACCAUGAGGGGAGAAGUCCUGUACAAACCACUGUAAACUCACAUUCAGGUCAUUAUGAUCAUCCACACAUCUCGCCACAGUAUUCAAACUCAUUCAGUGAUCCUAAUGAACCUGCGGAAGUGGACAAGAUCAAUAUCAUUGUCAAAUGUACUGGACGGACCAUGCAAAUUGACAUGUUCCCACUGGAAAGCAUCUCAGUUUUACUAAAGGAGGCCUGUGACCAGGCAGGGAAGAAACCAGAGAAAAUGUCACUUGUUUAUGAAGGAAACUGUCUGGAUGUGAACAAGACAGUGAUCCAGUAUAGACUACGAAGAGGAACCACUGUACAUUUGAUUCAUGCCUAGAAAUCAUGUCUAAGGAAAAGGUUUAUAUUUACCAUAUACAAGUACACUACAUAAAACAUUGUCUGAACUCAGUAACUGUAUUAUUAUUAGUACUA
Molecule: long non-coding RNA, 577 nt
Organism: Carassius carassius (crucian carp)
Lineage: Eukaryota; Metazoa; Chordata; Actinopteri; Cypriniformes; Cyprinidae
Exons: 3
Source: RefSeq, a predicted model, not a curated record